Molecule: ribosomal RNA, 460 nt
Filed under: uncultured bacterium
Lineage: Bacteria
Description: partial 16S ribosomal RNA
Rfam family: Bacterial small subunit ribosomal RNA
Source: RNAcentral
CCUACGGGAGGCAGCAGUGAGGGAUAUUGGUCAAUGGGCGCGAGCCUGAACCAGCCAAGUAGCGUGAAGGAUGACUGCCCUACGGGUUGUAAGCUUCUUUUAUAAAGGAGUAAAGUGAGACCCUUGUGCCUUUUUGUAUCUACUUUAUGAAUAAGGAUCGGCUAACUCCGUGACAGCAGCCGCAGUCAUACGUCGGAUCCAAGGGUUAUCCGGAUUUAUUGGGUUAAAAGGGAGCGUAGAUGGGUUGUUAAGUCAGUUGUGAAAGUUUGCGGCCCAACCGUAAAAUUGCAAUUGAUACUGGCAGUCUUGAGUACAGUUGAGGUAGGCGGAAUUCGUGGUGUAGCGGUGAAAUGCUUAGAUAUCACGAAGAACUCCGAUUGCGAAGGCAGCUUACUAAACUGCCACUGACAUUGAUGCUCGAAAGUGUGGGUAUCAAACAGGAUUAGAUACCCUUGUAGUC